Molecule: long non-coding RNA, 2310 nt
Organism: Helianthus annuus (common sunflower)
Lineage: Eukaryota; Viridiplantae; Streptophyta; Magnoliopsida; Asterales; Asteraceae
Exons: 7
Source: RefSeq, a predicted model, not a curated record
CUGCUCUUCUUGCUCUUCUCCCUUCUGAUACAAUCUUCGUUGAAACCCUAGCUGUUCCGUCUUCAAGCAAUGCAUCCCAGAGAUUUCUUUACAAUUUUGGUAAAGCACUAUCUUUUCGUUGUUUUUUUUAAUCUCUUCUUCGAUGCCCCCUUGGUUCUUAUUACCUCCGGGCGAUUAUGAGGAAAUCAUCUUCCAUAAAUCGCAAAACUUGAUUUCUGGUUCAAUCGCAGGUUUGAUCAUCCAAGGUUCGGAUCCUAUAUAUCUAUACUUCCCAUACAAAUCACAAACUCACUUCUGUCAAACCCUAAAUCCCAAAAUCGCAAACCUGCUUCAUCUGUUCUCACCGAUUCAUCAUUGAUAAUCGAAGGUAUGUUGUUUAUUUCAUUCCCUCUGUGAUUUUUAUUGUUAAUGUAAUAAAAUUUGUUAAUCUUAACCCUUUUGUGUUUGAUAUUGUUCAUGUAUAAUAGAUUGGUUGAUAAUUGUUAUAGGGUUGAUAAUUGUUUUGAACUCUGGCAAAAAUUCAAAUCUCCGGCAAACUAGAUCUAAUUUAUGUUGAAAAUCUGAAUCUCCAGGAUACCUCUUCCAAAGUGGGUAUUGGAGGAGAUCAAUAAUGACCCUAAUCUUGCAUACACAGAUCAACGGGGAAGAAUGAAUAAUGAAUAUCUUUCCCUUGGGUGUGGCACCAUCCUCUGCCUCAAGGGCAGGACUCCCAUUCAUUGCUACUCCGACUACAUGCGUGCUUUCAGGGAUUUUGGUACAGUCAUCUUCUCGGUGUCACUAUUGUGGAAAUUCAAGUUGGAAUGGGUCCAGCCGGAGUGGUUCGAUACCCAUCUUAGCUUGAGAAAGACGGAAUAUGGAGAUUCCUAGGAAGUGGUGCCUUCCAGUGUUACAAUAAAUAUAUGCUUGGCAGUUUGAAAGCUGCAGCUGAGAACUAUGGUAAACCGAAGACACCAACUUUUUAAAGGGAGAAUAUGGUAGCUGGAACAGUGAGUAUGGCGAAUUCUUUCUCUCGUGGUAUGGUACUCACAAAUGCUAUUGGAUCAUGGAGAUCGAAUACUUUCGUCGGCUACCUUGAUCUUUGAAAACCGAGGGGUCAAAAUCUCGGUUAAAGUUGCUGGAACCCAUUGGCACUAUGGAACCCGGUCCCAUGCACCUGAGCUCACUGCUGGCUACUACAAUACACGAUACUGAGAUGGGUACCCAAUAGCCCGAAUGCUGGUACGCCAUGGCACUGCUUUCUAUUUCACGUGUAUUCAAAUACAGGACCACGAGCAGCCUCAGGAUGCGCAAUGUGCACCAAAGAAGUUGGUGCAGCAAGUGACGUUAGCGACCAGGGAAGAUCAGGUGGCCCUGGCACUGAAAGGAGAGAACGCAUUACCAAGAUACGACGAUUAUGCACACUAGCAGAUCUUGAAGGCAACUUCAUUAUCCGAUAAUGAAGAAAUGUGUGCUGUAUUUGAGGAAGAAUCCGGAGUUGUUUCAGGCUGAUAAUUGGAGGAGAUUUGUGGCGUUUGUGAAGAAGAUGAAAAUGAUAACAGUUAUGAUAUAUUUUUUUUUCUAGAAAUGAAUUUUACUUCAUUUUGUAGCUGUUGAUGUGCUAUUAUGGAGGAACAAAAAUAUAUCAUAUACGGGCAAUAAAGCUGGUUAUCAAGAUAAAAUUUCCUAAACCUUACAACACUUGAUUUUUCUAACAUUAUUCCGAUUUUUUAUCUACUAUGCUAAAAUAUAUUCCUUCAUGUACUUAUAUCUUGUGUCUUAGAUGGUGAACCGAGCUCAAAUCCCUCCUAACAACUGAGUACUUAUUGCAAUGAUUGUUGGUGAGCGUUGGCAACUAAAGAAGAUAGAUCAUGUUGAUCUUCAUAAUAAACGCGGCGCUUUUGCUCCCCUGUUUCACCUGAAGUUUUUAACAGUUGGGAUGCUUCUUCAAGAGAUGUUUUUCGGAAUGCAGAUGCAACUCGAGAUGGUGGAAAUGUAGUGGAUCUUUGUAGCUUUAAUGAGCUACCUGCCAUCAUGGAUGGAUCUUUCCAAGAAAUUGUUUGGUGAUGAUGGGCAAAUAAAUAAGCAUGGUGUCUAGAUCCCAUUCGGCUAUAUGCAUACUAUGUAUGGAUUCCAUGUUUUUGUCGAUGAACUUACUGGUAAAGGACUAAAUAUGGCUCUGAUGAUUUUACACCUGUCAGGAAGUGGUCUUUUAUAAGAAUGGUGAACAAGCUACAGAUGGUGAACUUGGAGAUCUGUGGGUUAGUUUCUUUUUAUUGUUGACCAAAUAAUAUAAUAAAUCUUUUUGAGAAAUAAGAGGUGUUUUAUUGGUGA